This 333-nucleotide ribosomal RNA is filed under the name uncultured bacterium. Its description in RNAcentral is "bacterial SSU rRNA". It matches the Rfam family "Bacterial small subunit ribosomal RNA", at positions 28 to 355 of the family's 1533-position model. The record is from RNAcentral.
GACGAACGCUGGCGGCGUGCUUAACACAUGCAAGUCGAACGGUGACGAGGAGCUUGCUCCUCUGAUCAGUGGCGAACGGGUGAGUAACACGUGAGCAACCUGCCCCAGACUCUGGGAUAACAGUUGGAAACAGCUGCUAAUACCGGAUACGAGACGGAGAGGCAUCUCUACCGUCUGGAAAGUUUUUCGGUCUGGGAUGGACUCGCGGCCUAUCAGCUAGUUGGUGAGGUAAUGGCUCACCAAGGCGACGACGGGUAGCCGGCCUGAGGAGGCGACCGGCCACACGUGGGACUGAGACGACCGGCCCAGACUCCGUACGGGGAGGCAGCAGGU